RNAcentral lists this ribosomal RNA (433 nucleotides) under uncultured bacterium. Its description in RNAcentral is "partial 16S ribosomal RNA". It matches the Rfam family "Bacterial small subunit ribosomal RNA", at positions 29 to 507 of the family's 1533-position model. The record is from RNAcentral.
AACGAACGCUGGCGGCAUGCCUAACACAUGCAAGUCGAACGAGACCUUCGGGUCUAGUGGCGCACGGGUGCGUAACGCGUGGGAACCUGCCCUUAGGUUCGGAAUAACUCCCCGAAAGGGGUGCUAAUACCGGAUAAUGUCUUCGGACCAAAGAUUUAUCGCCUUUGGAUGGGCCCGCGUUGGAUUAGCUAGUUGGUAGGGUAAAAGCCUACCAAGGCGACGAUCCAUAGCUGGUCUGAGAGGAUGAUCAGCCACACUGGGACUGAGACACGGCCCAGACUCCUACGGGAGGCAGCAGUGGGGAAUAUUGGACAAUGGGCGAAAGCCUGAUCCAGCAAGGCCGCGUGAGUGAUGAAGGCCUUAGGGUUGUAAAGCUCUUUUACCCGGGAUGAUAAUGACAGUACCGAGAGAAUAAGCUCCGGCUAACUCCGUG